GGAGAGAGGAGGGCAUCUGAAUGUGGACACACCCUGCUGUGAGGGCUGUGGGCGGUCCUCAGACUGGAGCCAGCCCCCAGGCUCAGCUCAGCUCAGGGACCUCGUGCCCAGGCUUUCCUGGGGAGGAAGGUGUUGGAUCUCCUGCCUCUUUGUAUUCAUUCACACUUUGGGUUUCUCUCUCUUCCGCGCAUUCUAACAUCUGCAGGACUUUUUUUUUUUUUUUUUUGCGACAGAGUCUCGCUCUGUCGCCCAGGCUGGAGUGGAGUGGCGCGAUCUCAGCUCGCUGCAAGCUCCGCCUCCUGGGUUCACGCCAUUCUCGUGCCUCAGCCUCCAGAGUAACAGGGACCACAGGCGCCCGCCACCACGCCCAGGAACUGCUCACGGCCACCUCUGUGGAUGAACACCUAGCGGCUGCUCUAAAUACAUGCUGUGAAAGUUGUCAGAAUCAAAAUGGAGUCACUAAUGUUAAGAAAGCCCUGACAAAGAGUGGUGGGGAAGGCCAUGAAGAGAGGACACUUAUGCUUGCGUGCCUGAUACCAGAAAGGACUACAAAAACCACAACCCGGCACAGAGGCCAUCACACCCUUACACAAAAAAUAUUUCUGCAGGGACAACUGCCCAGCAAUUGCCUGUCCAACCUCAGACUGGAAUGACCUUUGUUAUUGAUGUUUGUAGCCAAGGAGAAUUAUCUCAAAACCAUUGUGAUCCUGCUCAUUUUUCCUUUAAAGACCUUUGUCUUCCUUGACCUCCCUGAAUAGGCAUAUGGUUUACUAUGGCGUGUGUACUCUCCUUGUAAUGUUCUGUUCUCAAGCUAAUAUCUGUUCUUCUAGAGAACCUCUCUCUUAGGCUGACAACGCUGUGGAUCUGGGCUCCCAGGAACUGGGGCUGACAUCAGAGGGGUGGAAAGAGAACAGCAGCUCUCCCUGAGGGGAUGCUUGCCAAGGAUAAGGAGAUGAUGGUUCUCUAAGGAUUAUUUUAUAUUCAUCUAAAAGGGUAUUUUUGUUGUUACCCCUAGCCUUUUUUCCCUUUUAAUUUUCUGAUGAAUAAUUUAUAUAAAGAAAACCCAUUCUAAGUGUGCAAUUCUAUGAGUUUUGAC
RNAcentral lists this long non-coding RNA (1096 nucleotides) under Pan troglodytes (chimpanzee). RNAcentral describes it as "long non-coding RNA NONPTRT013377". The record is from RNAcentral. Lineage: Eukaryota; Metazoa; Chordata; Mammalia; Primates; Hominidae.